UACGUAGGACCCGAGCGUUAUCCGGAAUGACUGGGCGUAAAGAGUUGCGUAGGUGGUCAGUAAAGCGAAUAGUGAAACCUGGUGGCUUAACCAUUCAGACUAUUAUUCGAACUCACUGACUCGAGAAUGGUAGAGGUAACUGGAAUUUCUAGUGUAGGAGUGAAAUCCGUAGAUAUUAGAAGGAACACCAAUGGCGUAGGCAGGUUACUGGACCAUUUCUGACACUGAGGCACGAAAGCGUGGGGAGCGAACCGG
RNAcentral lists this unclassified non-coding RNA (255 nucleotides) under Patescibacteria group bacterium. RNAcentral's name for it is "contains 16S-23S intergenic spacer region". It matches the Rfam family "Bacterial small subunit ribosomal RNA", at positions 524 to 776 of the family's 1533-position model. The record is from RNAcentral.